CCGCAGCCCAGAGUUGGGGACCCCUGCCUUAACUAAUGGAUCCCUUUUCCCCAACUCUUCUCUGCCUCUUGCUGGAUGAGGAGGUUUCCCAUUUACUCCAUUACUCUUUGGAGAAAGUCUCCAAUUCUGUCUUAUCUGGAAAUACUUCUUAUUUUCUAAUGAUAGGUUAAUUUAUAACAACAUGAUCAUUAACUUAUGUCACAGUCACAAAUGGCAGUGGCCCGGCCGUAUCCCGCAGUCUCGCGUAACGAAGGCAUGGGAGAGCCGGUGCAAUUUACUGCGCUGAUAGGUCCCUAAAGGCAUUUCAAGCUUUGCUCCACAAAGCACUCUCUUUUAGCACAAAUUAAUGUUCUUUAUUUUGUUCAGUGACUUUUGUCAAUAUAUAAAUGCUUAGAAUUUAUUAUAAUCACAGUUUGCUUGCUUACUUUUCAGGCAUGCUUCUUAAUCCAGGGUGAUUUAUGUGUUUACCAUCUGUAGCAUGAAUUUUUCUGUCAGAAUGUGAACUGAGAUAUUUGCACUUACAGUACACAUGUUUGUUUUACAUUUUCUCAGAGAGCUAAUACUUUGUUUUCCCAAAAUAGAUUUACUUAAUGAAAUUAGGAUCUUCAUGUUGAGAUGUUUAUUUUUAAAAUUUGACUUUAGUUAACUAACUCUGUGUUACUUAAUUUAAUUUAGAGUUGACUUAUUGAAGUUGGUAAUUUACUUAAAUGUAAUAGCUGAACUGCAUAAAUUUUAAAAACUUAUCCUAGCUAUUUGAUAUUACCAAUCUAUAAAAUCUUGAUUUUGAUGUUGUUGUUCUUAUUGUAGAUCAUCUUUGUUAUUAAGAGAGCAGCUUUUUAAUUUUUAGUUUUUUUUUGAGAUGGAGAUCUUACUUUGUCGUGCACGUGGGAGUGCAGUGGCACAAUCAUAGUUCACUGUAACCUCAAACUCCUGGAUUCAAGUGAUCCUCCCGCCUCAGCCUCCUAAGUAGCUGGAACUACAGGCCCAUACUACCAUGCCCAGCUAAUUAAAUUUUUUUUUUUUGUACAGACAGGGUCUCGCUAUGUUGCCCAAGCUGGUCUUGAACUCCUGAGCUCAAGUGAUUUUCCUGCCUUAGCCUCCCAAAGUGUGAGAGUACAGGUGUGAGCCACGACACCUGGCCUGAAAGCAGCUUUUUGUUUUACAGUUUGUUCUAAGGGAAUUCAAAGCUCCACAUCUUUUAAAAAUUAUUACUAUUUGAUCUAAAACCUUUUUAAAGCAAUCUGCUUUGAAUCAUGUGAGGAGCUCACUGAAUACAACAUUCUUGGUAAUCAGAGAAUGGGGUUAAUUUUUUUAACUUGGAUGAGCAGUUCUAGCAUGAGUUAUGAGGAAGUGUCAAGUGACCUGUUUUCUAAAUGUUGAAUUAACUCUGCUAUCUGUAUUUUAAAAGCUAAUUGGUAUAUUUCUACCUAGGCCUUGAAAAGCCAUCACUCAUACUCUCUUUCCAUCCCAUCCCAUUCCCUUCUCUUACCUAAGUUACUUACUUGCUAUCCUAUUAGGAAAAAUUUUAAAAUCCACUUACUGAACAGGUAUGUACACAGGAUUACUUGGCUGACUACCAAUGCCUAACCAUCAGUGAAAGGACACCCUUUAAAAUAAGACUUUUAGAUCAGCAAGAAAUGACUAGUAUAUUUUAUUCAAUUCAACAAACAUCCACUGGACGCUUAUGUUCAAAGUACGGUGGGUGAUAGAACUAGUAAGUCAGUAGUUUCUAUCUGGAAGUAACUCUCAUUCUUUUUUAAUUUUUUUUUUUGGGGGGGGUCUGUUUCUUUGUCAGACCUUUAGUUUGUUUAAUGUCAUGAAUUUUGGUCAAGUAAGAUAUUUUUAAUUGAUGACAAUUCUAGACAAAAAUGCCUCAGUGAAGAUGGAGAGCCUAUUUGGGAUCAGGAUCAUCCAGCCCCUCAGAGCAAGAGUAUGGAGAUCAUAUUCACAGUGGGUACCAAGACCUGGGCUUGGCGUAGGCAUCUUGUCUGACUAGGGGAAUUUCCUAUACACUGCACAGACUGAUGAAUGACUACAGAGGAGGUAGCUGGCAUGCGCAAGAAAGAGCAAAGAUUAAGUAAGCCAAGCAUAAUAGUGCCUGGCAAAUCGUCUCACCGUGUGUGAGUCUGAUGCAUGGUGGCUUCUCUUAUUAUGAUUUUAUUCUGAUGAACUUUCCUCAGUGAAGAUAGGCAACUGUUCAAUCAUCUAUUCAUCAAGUCCCUGUAAUGUGACAGCCGUGAUACUAGGUACAGAGGAUUGAACUGUGAGCUCAGCAAAUCCAGUCAUUGCCUUCAUAGGACUUUCACUUAGCGGGGGCUUCAGACAAGUGCGUGGGCUAAACAGUUGAGUAAAUGUAACCAUGGUGAAAAAUAGAGGGUGCUGUUGAAAUGUGUUCCCCUGAAGAAGGGAAGAGGAGAUUCCUGGAAGAAUUUCCAUUGGAGGUGGUAUUUCAGUUGAAAAGUAAGUAGGAAUUGAUUAGAAUAGGAGAUGGAGAGAGAGGUGGACAGUGUUCCAGGCAGACGGAGCAUCUGGGGUGACCACCCAAAAGUGAGAGACAGUGCAAAGCCCCAGGAACUCCUUUAUGCAGCCCAGGCAGAGCCAAGUGGGGCCUGGUGUGGGCGGUGCCUCUCAGCUUGCUAUGAAAAAGUCUGGGCUUUGUCCCAGAGCAGUGGAGUGCUAUAGUUGAGUUUUAAAUGGGGCGCUGAUCUGAUGAAAUACUUAGGAAGAUCACCCUGGUCUCAGAGUGGAGACUGUGCUGGGAGGGUGGAGGAAGAGUGGCAGAAUCAAGGCAUUGGUGGGACCAUGGCUGGAGCUGAGCAAGGGACUGACACUGUGGCCUGCAUGGGCAGAAGAACACAUGCGAUUCCAGAGAGGCGGGUCCACUGGGUCCAGAAAGAGUCUCGGGAGGUCGAACAGAGCACCCUUCUCUGCUGGGCCAGCCUUGGGCUGAUUUAUCAGCAGAAAACUGGGUGGAUCUGUUUGUUCAAGGGCCCAGGGAAGACAAGCUUUGGGGAGUCACCAUUGCAGGCUGAGGACAACAGAUGUAGCUGCCCACUGAGAAACAACAGCCUCCACGUGCGCAGCUGGGGAAGAAGUGAGUCACUGUCUUCUCAGUCACACCCAGCACCUGCUUAAUGACCACUUUUUCCAGAGCCAGCCUUUGAAUAUGAAAAACAAUAAUCAAAUGAUCUUCUUCCCAGGAGUUGAGUCGGUGCUCCUGAUUAGCUCAGGGCCAACACUAAAACUAGAAAACUGGAGGCUUUCUGGGAGCCAGGCUGCCUGGCAGCUGAUGUGGCCACAUAACAUUGUAGUUUUGACUCGUCCUUUUCUAAGGCAUGCUGAGAACCCUUGAAGCCCCCUGCCAUUCUUCUGUUUUCCAUUCUCUCCUUCCAGUGCUCAUUAAAAAAAAAAAAAAAAAAAAAAAAAAAAAAA
This is a long non-coding RNA of Macaca fascicularis (crab-eating macaque), 3432 nucleotides long. The record is from Ensembl. NCBI's taxonomy places the organism in Eukaryota, Metazoa, Chordata, Mammalia, Primates, Cercopithecidae.